Molecule: long non-coding RNA, 754 nt
Organism: Triticum aestivum (bread wheat)
Lineage: Eukaryota; Viridiplantae; Streptophyta; Magnoliopsida; Poales; Poaceae
Exons: 3
Source: RefSeq, a predicted model, not a curated record
AAGAAAGCAGCUGAUGAGACCGAGACUAUUCUGGAAACAACCCCGGCUGGCAAAAGCGAUGGGGAAGGUGCACUUCGAGCAUUCAUUAAGCGCCAGGGCCAAAAGUUAAGGCGGCUAUCAAACCUUUUCGGUUGUCGUGACCCCGAGUAUGUAUCACCAGAACGGUCUAGGUCGGCGACACCAUCAGAUCCCGCUUCGGGGUAGGGCCAUGGCGAACCUUUCGAGGAUGAGGAUGUGGGUGUGGUCACCCAAGAGGUUGCUGAUGAUAUGACCGUGGGGACGUACCAGGCUCGGUCUGCAUACGAGUUGAAGCCUAGGAAGGGAAUCAACAAGUACACACCUGAAGAGUUCACCCAAAGAGGCCAAAGAGGCAAAAGGACGGUCGACACCUCGCGGAUGGCGGCUUUGUAUGACUAUUUGGAUGACUAUGUAGAUGACGUGGAGGAACCGGAGCCGGAGCGGGUUCCUCUUCCUAGGAAGGUGAAGAAGAUAAGCGUCAAGAGGGGGGGGAGGAGCCAUCAAGCGCGGAAAGCACUAGUCAUCGUCCUUUGUUGAACUUAGAGUGGAAUUUGUUAUGUCGUUGAACUUGGAGUGGUGGUAGCUAUUAGUAAUGUGGAAUUUGUUAUGUCGUUGAACUUGGAGUGGUGGUAGCUCUAUGUUAAACUUGAACUUAUUGUGAUGGUCCUUUCUAAGAAAUGAUGUCUUUGGUGAACCCUUUUUGAACCUUAAUGUUUAUUAUACGAAAUAUUGAACU